RNAcentral lists this ribosomal RNA (482 nucleotides) under uncultured bacterium. Its description in RNAcentral is "partial 16S ribosomal RNA". It matches the Rfam family "Bacterial small subunit ribosomal RNA", at positions 30 to 507 of the family's 1533-position model. The record is from RNAcentral.
UUGAACGCUGGCGGCAGGCCUCACACAUGCAAGUCGAGCGGAUGAAGGGAGCUUGCUCCUGGAUUCAGCGGCGGACGGGUGAGUAAUGCCUAGGAAUCUGCCUGGUAGUGGGGGAUAACGUCCGGAAACGGGCGCUAAUACCGCAUACGUCCUGAGGGAGAAAGUGGGGGAUCUUCGGACUCCAGCUAUCAGGUGGGGCUUGGGCGGGUUAGCUUGUUGGUGGGGUAAAGGCCUACCAAGGCGACUAUCCGUAACUGGUCUGAGAGGAUGAUCAGUCACACUGGAACUGAGACACGGUCCAGACUCCUACGGGAGGCAGCAGUGGGGAAUAUUGGACAAUGGGCGAAAGCCUGAUCCAGCCAUGCCGCGUGUGUGAAGAAGGUCUUCGGAUUGUAAAGCACUUUAAGUUGGGAGGAAGGGCAGUAAGUUAAUACCUUGCUGUUUUGACGUUACCAACAGAAUAAGCACCGGCUAACUUCGUG